RNAcentral lists this ribosomal RNA (500 nucleotides) under uncultured bacterium. Its description in RNAcentral is "partial 16S ribosomal RNA". It matches the Rfam family "Bacterial small subunit ribosomal RNA", at positions 28 to 507 of the family's 1533-position model. The record is from RNAcentral.
GACGAACGCUGGCGGCGUGCUUAACACAUGCAAGUCGAACGGGUCUGCCCUGUUUUUUGCGGGGUGGGUCAGUGGCGAACGGGUGAGUAACACGUGAGUAACCUGCCCCUCACUUCUGGAUAACCGCUUGAAAGGGUGGCUAAUACGGGGUGUUCUGGCUGUGCCGCAUGGUGUGGCUGGGAAAGAUUCACUUUUGUGGUGUUUUGGUGGGGGAUGGGCUCGCGGCCUAUCAGCUUGUUGGUGGGGUGAUGGCCUGCCAAGGCUUUGACGGGUAGCCGGCCUGAGAGGGUGGGCGGUCACACUGGGACUGAGAUACGGCCCAGACUCCUGCGGGAGGCAGCAGUGGGGGGUAUUGCACAAUGGGCGGAAGCCUGAUGCAGCGACGUCGCGUGAGGGAUGGAGGCCUUCGGGUUGAGAACCUCUUUCGCCGGUGAAGAAGGUCCUGCUCUUUGUGGUAGGGUUGACGGUAGCCGGGUUAUGAAGCGCCGGCUAACUACGUG